Long non-coding RNA from Dasypus novemcinctus (nine-banded armadillo), 2915 nucleotides. The record is from Ensembl. Lineage: Eukaryota; Metazoa; Chordata; Mammalia; Cingulata; Dasypodidae.
AUGGAAAUUUCCCUCCCUGAACUCCCAAGACCCCAGUCUUUAUUUCAGAGCAUUGGCGUCCAAGGACAAGCCGGGUCCCCGUAUAUGAAGAGCCAGUUUGCAGAGCUUGCACCAUGGCUGCCAUCCCUCUGGCUAGCCCCUGGCUUUCCCGCAGGUGAACCCUUCUGCUGCCUUCUGGGAGUUAUGAAGAAUCCCUUUCAAACAGCGAAGCUGCUUCAAGUGCUUCUUGGGGCUGACCCAAAUGUUCACACCCCUUCGGGGACACAUUCCAAGAAAAAGCAUCAUUUUUUCCAAGCAGCAAUUCUGUCCAGAGGACUCUUCAGAAGUGUUUAUUGCAAGAGAAGAGCUUGGGAAUCUGUAUCCCCAAAGAGUGUUUUUCUGUGGGGUCUGAUGGAAGAAUAAAUAUUGUCCAACCUUGAAAUUUAAAACAGCCGAAUAUCUAUCCUUGGAUACCUAGGAUAGCCUCAAAUAAAGUACAGGGGGGAUAAUUCAGAACUAAAGUCCAACUCUGGGUCCUUCAUCCAUGUAAUAAAUAUUUAUUGAGCGCCUAUUAUGAGCCAGGCCAGUUCUAGAUACUUCAGAUUCCUUGAUGAGAGCAAGAUAGACAUGGUCCCUUCUCUCAUAUUCUUGUAUUACAGGCCUAUAAACAUGAAAAAAAAAGUUCCAUCUCAUGAGUAAUCAGGAACUGUAAAUUAGAACUACAGUCAGUUAAAAUUUCAUAUCCCUCAAAUUGGCAAAAAUUGACAAGUAGGGCAAUGCCAACUGUUAGUGAGGAUGUGCUAUAACUUGAGUUCUCACCUGUGCUGGUGGGAGUGGAGCUUGGUAUAUGCACUUUGGAAGAGCUGCACAGACCUUAGUGAAUUUGGAUGUGUGCAUAACCUAGGCCUAGAAAUUCCACUAGGGUGUGAGCAGAGACACCUGCUCACGAACACCAGGAGACACAUUCAAGAGUGUUCCCAGCAGCAUCAUUCAUGAUACUGGAUACAACCAGACAGUGGGCCAAUGGGACAGUACGGAACUAAACUGCUGUGUAUUUAUACGGCGGAACACUCUAGGCUGAUGAAAAUAAAUGACAGACAGCUACGCACAUCCACAGGGAUGAACCUCAGAAACAUAACCCUGAACAAAAGAAGCAAGUCACAGAAUGCAUACAAUAUGCUUCCAUUCGUGUAACUUUCAAAAACAGGUAAAACUAAACAAUUAACCAAUAUGUACCUUAGGUUAAUAGCAAGGACAUUAUUCACAAAAUUCAGGAUAAUGGUUACCUUGGAGGGUCAAGGGGAGCACACCGAGACUUCUAGGGUAUUGGCCAUGGACUGUUUCUUAAGGUGGGAGGUAGGUAGUGAGGUGCACAUCGUGGUUCCACAAGAUGAAGCUGCUUGCUAUUGCUUAUGCUUAGCUGGUGACUUCUUGGUUUUAUGACAUUAAUUUAAGCUCUGUGACCAAAGUGACUCUCUGUGGUUACAGCAGUAUGCACUUAAAUGUCAGCUUUUUGCUGAAAAAGUACUUGAGUUUGAAGGAGGUCAUUGUGUUCAGUAAAAUCUGGCCAUAUUUUAUGUUUAUGGUCUUUAUUAGGACAUCCAGCUGAGCUAGUUAAAGCCCUAUCUCUAUAGUCAGUGAAAACCUAGUACUCUUGGAUUACUGGAUUCACUCAUUCAGAUAUUAUUUACUGAGCUUAUACUAGGUGCCAGGUGCUGGUAUAUACAGUGGUAAACAUCCAGGCAUGAUCCACAGACAUUUAAAGAAUAAAUACAUAGAUAAAUGUGUCAUAAAUAAGUGUUAUUAAGAAAAAGGACAAGAUACUAAAAGUAUCUAGGAGGAUCUAAUUUAGAUAGAGUGAGAGAAGAAAAGAUAAUAUUUAGCUGGGUGACAAAUGGGGGGAAAUUAUCAGGAAGAAGGAAUAGCAGGUAUAAAGCCGCACAGACAGUAAAGAACCUGUCAUAGUCAAGAAACUCUGACUGGUGCCUACCCAGAUGCACUUGGGUUUGUCCAGCCUCCAACUGUCCUACUGUCGAUUGUCCCCAGUACCUUUAAUAUACACACUCUUGUUACAAUGACCCUGGGUUACAUGCACCUCAUGGGAAAAUUAAGUUCUAUUUCCUGGUAGUUGCUUCCUACACCCUUGUUCUCCUUGACCUCACCUGCUUUCUUGGUUACUGACUCUGGGUUUUCAUUUCUCAGCUACCUCUUUGGUCCUGUCUCCCCUGCCCUCCUUCUUCUUGGCAUCACCACCCCCGUAUUUUAGUCUGCUAGGUUGCUGAAAUACAAUAUGCCAGAAAUGGUUUGGCUUUUAUGAUGGGGAUUUAUUAGCUUACAAGCUCACAGUACUGAGACUGUGAAAAUUCCAAAUCAAGGUAUGUCCAGGCAAUGCUUUCUCCCCUAAGACUGGCUCCCAGCGAUCCUAGACUUCUCUGACACAUGGCAACAUAUAUGGUUGUAUUUGCUGGUCUCUACUUUCUCUUCCAGGUUUCAUUGCUGUCAGCUCCUGGCUUCCAUGACUUUCUCUUUCAGCUUCUGUGACUUUCUCUGUCUUCUUUCUCCCUAUUCAUCAUAUUUAUAAAGGAUUCCAGUAAAAGGAUUAAGACCCUCCCUGGGUCAUGUCUUAAUUGAAGUAAUCUAUUCAAAAGAUCCCACCCACCAUAGGUUCACACCCACAGAGAUGGACCAACUUUAAGAAGAUGAUUUUCUGGGGUACAUACAGUCUCAAACUACCACACUCCACACUCUGCACUCCAAGAAGACAUGUUCCUUCCAUAUGCAAAAUGUAUUCAUUCCAUUGCAAUAUUCAUAGGCUUAACUUGCUUCAGUAACAAUGCUAAGUACAAAAUCUCAUCAAAAUCAGUAAUAGGUGUGGUCUGUCUGUCCUGGGGCACAAUUCCCCUCCAGCUGUGGAUCUCUGAAAUUUAGAACAAGUU